AUAUCGAUGGUUCAAUGGUAGAAUCCUUGCCUUCCAUGUGAGAGGCCUGGGUUCGAUUCCCAACCAAUGCA
Molecule: transfer RNA, 71 nt
Filed under: Loxodonta africana (African savanna elephant)
Lineage: Eukaryota; Metazoa; Chordata; Mammalia; Proboscidea; Elephantidae
Rfam family: tRNA
About the family: Transfer RNA (tRNA) molecules are approximately 80 nucleotides in length. Their secondary structure includes four short double-helical elements and three loops (D, anti-codon, and T loops).
Source: Rfam by way of RNAcentral